RNAcentral lists this ribosomal RNA (741 nucleotides) under uncultured Campylobacterota bacterium. Its description in RNAcentral is "bacterial SSU rRNA". It matches the Rfam family "Bacterial small subunit ribosomal RNA", at positions 8 to 782 of the family's 1533-position model. The record is from RNAcentral. Lineage: Bacteria; Pseudomonadati; Campylobacterota.
AGAGUUUGAUCCUGGCUCAGAGUGAACGCUAGCGGUGCGUUUAAUACAUGCAAGUCGAGCGAGAAACUUUCUUCGGAAAGCAGACAGCGGCGGACGAGUGAGUAACACGUAAGUAGCUGCCUCGUACUCAGGGAUAGCCCUCCGAAAGGAGGAUUAAUACCGGAUGGUCCCUUUUUGGGUAAAGAUUUAUCGGUACGAGAGGCGCUUGCGGACUAUCAGUUUGUUGGUGAGGUAAUAGCUCACCAAGACUAUGACGGUUAUCUGGUGUGAGAGCAUGACCAGACACGAUGGGACUGAGACACGGCCCAUACUCCUACGGGAGGCAGCAGUAAAGAAUCUUCCGCAAUGGGCGAAAGCCUGACGGAGCGACACCGCGUGGUGGAUGACACUCUUCGGAGCGUAAACACCUUUUCUAUCGGAAGAAGAUCUGACGGUACGAUAGGAAUAAGGACCGGCUAAUUAUGUGCCAGCAGCCGCGGUAAUACAUAAGGUCCAAGCGUUACUCGGAAUUAUUGGGCGUAAAGCGUCCGCAGGUGGCUGUAUAAGUCAGUUAUUAAAUACCGGAGCUCAACUUCGGUGCUGUAAUUGAAACUAUACAACUAGAGAUUGGGAGAGGUGUGCGGAAUUGUGCAAGUAGGGGUAAAAUCCGUAGAUAUGCAUAGGAAUACCAAAAGCGAAGGCAGCACACUGGCCCAUAUCUGACACUCAGGGACGAAAGCGUGGGGAGCAAAACGGAUUAGA